GGAUAUGAGAAUGAUCUGACUAUGACAUUUGCUACCUCAUUGAUCACCAGUGUUAAUUUGACUGGCCUGUCUGGUUAAGCAGGUGUCCCCUUCCUCCCUUACUGGUUCAUGUGUGUUCUUCCUGAAACUGUGCACUCAAUAAGAAGAAGAUGAUCUUCCCACAACAGAAAAGGGCUGAUCUUCAGUCAAGGGUACCAAGUAGCUACACUCCCGUGCUAGAACCUCCAAACAAGCUUCCAUGACACAAGUAAAAAUGCAACGAGUGCUUACUUGUUCUCAAAAAACUAUCUGAUAUGUUAUGAAAUUGAGUAAUCAACAUUGCACU
Molecule: small nuclear RNA, 325 nt
Filed under: Nannospalax galili (Upper Galilee mountains blind mole rat)
Lineage: Eukaryota; Metazoa; Chordata; Mammalia; Rodentia; Spalacidae
Description: 7SK RNA (ENSNGAG00000005834.1)
Rfam family: 7SK RNA
About the family: 7SK was discovered as an abundant small nuclear RNA in the mid-70s but a possible function has only recently been suggested. Two independent studies have found that 7SK RNA binds the CDK9/cyclin T complex (known as elongation factor P-TEFb).
Source: Rfam by way of RNAcentral